UUAAACUGAAGAGUUUGAUCAUGGCUCAGAUUGAACGCUGGCGGCAGGCUUAACACAUGCAAGUCGAGCGGAAACGAUGAUAGCUUGCUAUCAGGCGUCGAGCGGCGGACGGGUGAGUA
This 119-nucleotide ribosomal RNA is filed under the name Thalassolituus sp. HI0120. RNAcentral's name for it is "partial 16S ribosomal RNA". It matches the Rfam family "Bacterial small subunit ribosomal RNA", at positions 1 to 112 of the family's 1533-position model. Lineage: Bacteria; Pseudomonadati; Pseudomonadota; Gammaproteobacteria; Oceanospirillales; Oceanospirillaceae. The record is from RNAcentral.